ACUGCUAUCGGGGUGGGACUAAGACAUGCGAGUCGAGCGUCUCUAGCUAUGUUGAGACGCGGCAUACGGCUCAGUAACACGUGGCUAACCUACCCUCAGGACGGGGACAAACCCGGGAAACUGGGGCUAAUAUCCGAUAGGCGAGGAAUCCUGGAAUGGUUCUUCACCCAAAGGACAUUGGAAACAUGCUUUCUCUGUCGCCUGGGGAUGGGGCCGCGUCCGAUCAGGUUGUUGGUGAGGUAAUGGCUCACCAAGCCUUUAACCGGUACGGGCCGUGAGAGCGGUAGCCCGGAGAUGGGUACUGAGACAAGGACCCAGGCCCUACGGGGCGCAGCAGUCGCGAAAACUCCGCAAUGCACGAAAGUGUGACGGGGCUACCCCGAGUGCCGUCCGCUGAGGAUGGCUUUUCCUUGGUGUAACUAGCCGGGGGAAUAAGGAGAGGGCAAGACUGGUGUCAGCCGCCGCGGUAAUACCAGCUCUCCGAGUGGUAGGGAUGAUUAUUGGGCUUAAAGCGUCCGUAGCCGGUUUAGCAAGUUUCCUGUUAAAUUCAGCGACCUAAUCGUUGAGCCGCGGGAAAUACUACUAGGCUAGGAGGCGGGAGAGGUCGACGGUACUUCUGGGGUAGGGGUGAAAUCCUAUAAUCCCGGGAGGACCACCAGUGGCGAAGGCUGUCGACUAGAACGCGCUCGACGGUGAGGGACGAAAGCUGGGGGAGCGAACCGGAUUAGAUACCCGGGUAGUCCCAGCUGUAAACGAUGCGGGCUAGGUGUUGGGGUGGCUACGUGCCACUUCAGUGCCGCAGGGAAGCCAUUAAGCCCGCCGCCUGGGGAGUACGGCCGCAAGGCUGAAACUUAAAGGAAUUGGCGGGGGAGCACCACAAGGCGUGAAG
RNAcentral lists this ribosomal RNA (889 nucleotides) under uncultured archaeon. RNAcentral's name for it is "bacterial SSU rRNA". It matches the Rfam family "Archaeal small subunit ribosomal RNA", at positions 26 to 893 of the family's 1478-position model. The record is from RNAcentral.